CCUGAAUGAAAAAUAUGAAGCUUUCGAUUUGUUAUUGAUAUCUUAAAUCGCGACACUGUUUGGUACAUCGAUUAGCAUGGUAUUGGCAAGCUGAUCAAGAUAAUAUUUACACAUUUACAAAUACUGUUCGCAUUUGGGCGAUAGACCGACCUUACGUUAUGGGCGUAUGUGGGCGUUAUAGUAGGCGAUCACCCCUGUUAUGUAUGUAAAAUACCUCGGUAGUUUAAAAUUUUUCACUAUAUUUGUUGAAAAACUAACGACGCCUACACUCAGAAAACUGAAGAACGAAUAAUUUAAGAACGAACGUUCUUAAAAAUGUACCGUGUCGUACUUAAAAUUUUUAAGACAACCGUUCUUGGAAUAAGUACUAGUUGUACUCGAAUUACACAUUUCAAAAGCGAUAUUAUUGAUACUCAUGGAAAACAAAGGUUUAUCUUUUCUCAUUUAUGUAUAUUCCUUGAUCAUUUUAUACGACCAAUUUUAAAAAAAUAUAAAAAAAAAAGAGAAGUUUUUUUAAAAAUUUAUGCGAUUGAAAAAUCUCCAGCCAUUCGACUUCUUACACUUGUUAAUAUCGAUUACAUUUCUGUGUUGUUAAAGAACCAUAUGUUUUUUCGAUAAUCGAUUGCAACACGGCGCUCAUUUAGUGUCAAAAAGUUCCUGGGGUAACAAGUAGAAAGUGAAUUAAGUGAAAUAAUUGAAGAAUAAUGUGAAAAUGGGCACGGUGUGCAGGUUAAAAAUCGACUUCUGGGAAAUAUACCCAGAGAAAGAGCAUGCAUUGGUUUUGAAAUAGGACGACCUGAAGCCUUUACGAUAGGAAGAUUAAAAACGAUCUCAGCAGGCAACAGCUUACCGAAGCACAGUCGGCAAUAAAUGAAGAUGCCCAGGACUCUAUUUGUUAUUUUGCUUGACACCGCGUUUCAUUAAAUAUGUUUAGCUGUAAGAACUUUAAGAAAAGUGUAACGAUUUAAAUUUUAAGAAAAAAGUUAAGGAUGUUUUUAUGUAUACAUUUACAAUAUAUAAAAUAAAAAUAACAA
This is a long non-coding RNA of Drosophila yakuba, 1034 nucleotides long. RefSeq lists it as uncharacterized. Lineage: Eukaryota; Metazoa; Arthropoda; Insecta; Diptera; Drosophilidae. The record is from RefSeq and is a predicted model, not a curated record. The transcript is spliced from 3 exons.